This 33-nucleotide transfer RNA is filed under the name Pholidornis rushiae (tit-hylia). RNAcentral's name for it is "partial tRNA-Phe". The record is from RNAcentral. Lineage: Eukaryota; Metazoa; Chordata; Aves; Passeriformes; Paridae.
GAUGUCAAGAUGGCUGCCACGCACCCGGAGACA